ACUCAAAGGAAUUGACGGGGACCCGCACAAGCGGUGGAUGAUGUGGUUUAAUUCGAUGCAACGCGAAAAACCUUACCUACACUUGACAUGCCAGAAAUCCCGCAGAGAUGUGGGAGUGCCGCAAGGAAUCUGGGCACAGGUGCUGCAUGGCUGUCGUCAGCUCGUGUCGUGAGAUGUUGGGUUAAGUCCCGCAACGAGCGCAACCCUUGUCACUAGUUGCUACAUUUAGUUGGGCACUCUAGUGAGACUGCCGGUGACAAACCGGAGGAAGGUGGGGAUGACGUCAAGUCCUCAUGGCCCUUAUGUGUAGGGCUACACACGUCAUACAAUGGUCGGUACAGAGGGUUGCCAACCCGCGAGGGGGAGCUAAUCUCACAAAGCCGAUCGUAGUCCGGAUCGCAGUCUGCAACUCGACUGCGUGAAGUCGGAAUCGCUAGUAAUCGUGGAUCAGCAUGUCACGGUGAAUACGUUCCCGGGUCUUGUACACACCGCCCGU
RNAcentral lists this ribosomal RNA (496 nucleotides) under uncultured bacterium. RNAcentral's name for it is "bacterial SSU rRNA". It matches the Rfam family "Bacterial small subunit ribosomal RNA", at positions 899 to 1397 of the family's 1533-position model. The record is from RNAcentral.